This is a long non-coding RNA of Parus major (Great Tit), 4646 nucleotides long. RefSeq lists it as uncharacterized. The transcript has 2 exons. The record is from RefSeq and is a predicted model, not a curated record. NCBI's taxonomy places the organism in Eukaryota, Metazoa, Chordata, Aves, Passeriformes, Paridae.
CCCAACAUCUAUGUCCCAGUCGUGUUGGCAGGCAAAUGUCGGGAACAAGCAGGGCCACGAAAAGCCCGACCAAAAUUCGGGCAGGGAAGUUGUGCCAGGCGUAGACCACCAGCAUCUGUUUAUCAUUGUUGGAGCUGCAAGGGGAAAAAAACAUCCUCUGGAUUCUGAGCUGCCGGAGCGAAGGGAAUGGUUGGUGAGGUGAAACUGGGGAGGGGAGGAUUAGGAGAGUAUUAAUGAGCGGCUGGAACAAAUUAGCGAGGGAGUAGCAGAGACAACAGGAAGGAGUGCGAGAGGCUGGAGGAUCCGAGGUGCUUGUGGCAGUUCCCUGCCCGGCGUGGGAUGUGUGUGCUCUAGGAACCCGCCGCAAUAAUUCAUCGCAUUAAAGCAGACGGCAACAAAAGCCAUUUUGUGACAAAGUUGGUUGUCUUGGGCUUUCACCCCACGAUAUGAAUUUUUUUAAAAAAAAUAAUAUUUAUUUGUUUAUUUAUUUAAUUUUUAUUAACAGCGAGAGAGUGUGGUUGGAGUGGAUUUGGGGAAAGAAGUAAAUCAGGCUGACAACAUUUGCCCUGGCUGGGACCGAGGCUCCUGCUCCCGAGUUACACCCGGGAAACCAGAGGAAGCGGGUUAUGGUGUGAGGAGAAAGUGGGAAAGGGGAAAAAGAGGGAGGAAGGAGUGAGUGGAAGGGAAGGAGAAGCCGGCAGAGGAAAUGAAGGAUGAGGAAGCCAAGGAUGCGAAAACGAGGACGCAAAGGAAAAGCUCAGUGCGCGGUGAAUUUGGGGGCUAAAAGGGGGAUAAGACCAGGGAGAGAACUGAGAAAACACCGCAGGGAGGACCAAAGGGACACUUUUUGCUCGCGUUGGGGCACAGUGAUCCUCACACGCGUCGUGCCCCGGAGUUGAGGUGGCGGCCGGACUGGGCUGGUGGCACUCGGGGCGAGCACGGACAGCAGGACACAGGGGCACAGACACAGAGCCAGGACACAGAACAAAGAAGGGCUCGGGUUGUGGGUGAAGAAGAAGGUUGCUGAGGAAUGGAAAGGAACGGAGUGAAUGCGGACAUCCUUGGUCAGUCGGGGAUUUGGGUACCGAUCACUCAGAGCAGAACUUGCACCCGAAUGUUUCCUUGCCCUUGGGGAAGGGCCGGGCUCGCCCGUCAGACACGAGUGACUCCUCUCCAAGGCUCUGCCCCCGUGGUGUCAGCAGGGCUUUCACACGGAACUGAUAGCGGUGGCGAAAUCCUUCCCGGGCAGGACAAUCCUCCAAACCUCUCGUUUUGUUCAGUGGUUUUGGUUGAUUUGUUUGUGGUUUAAGGGUGGGGGGUAUUUCCAGGAGGCGGCUGUGUCAGUGUUGCCUCAGGGCUGUAAGGGGAGAAUUUUCCUUCUUGAGAAGAACAAUGUCGAGGUGUUUCCUAAAGAUGUGAUGGUCAGAUAGCUGUAAUGUCCUUUGGAUAGGCAUCCCAGGACGGGACUUUCGCAGCUGAAAAUGCUUUGUUCCCGUUUUUCACGUGAUUUAUUUGCAUCCCUGUGGUUUAUUUUGGCCUGAAGGACCGCCAAACGGGUUGUGUGCUCGCAGAUCGAAUUGUGAUUUGGGGCAGAGCAGGAUGAACGUGGGGAGGGAGGGGAAGGGCCCUGGGACACCAGCAGGACGGCCCCGGUAAAUAUAAAAUGUUACGUGUUAAAACUCAUUCUCUUCACAGGCCUGCCUCCCAAGCCACCAUUAACAUUCAGGUGAUGACUUUGUAAUUUUGCUUGGAGAUCCUUGGGUGGAAAUUGCAGAAACGGUGCUAACCCUUAUUUAUCCCAUUUUGUGUGAAAAGCGGAGCACAGAGGGGAGCGAGGACGCUGCGGGGAAUGCCACCCCCGCCUUGGGAGGAACCAACAAAACCCGAUGGCAAAAGCUAGCUUAGCAAGGAGAUACGUGACCGAGGCAGCUUUGAAGCCUUUUCUGAGGAAUCCUUCGUCCUUCUGUAGAAUGUUUAAUCUUCCUGUGGAGUGUCUAACUAUGAGACUCGUUCUGCAGACUUUCAUUCUUGUGCCAUACAGAUGAGCAGGGGUUGCUCAGGUGAUUGAACGAGUCCUAAAUCAUUACUGGAGAAUGGAGAGAGCAGGAACGCCUAGGUCAGAACAAAAAUCUUUAUUUGCCCCUCUUUUCCAGCAGGGAGGGGAAAAAAAAACACCCCAAAAGUAAUUAUAGCUCAGGGGUAGGGAGGGAUAAUCCUUGUGGGUCCCUUCCAGCUUGAGAUACUCUGUGACUCUAGGUCUCAAGGAAAGGUUUACCAAUAACCCAACAACCCCUUGCCCUUUCUGCUUCCAGCAGGAGCCACAACUCCCUCCAGUCUGCACAGAAGGAGCCAGGAUGAUUUUGUCACACAGUUCACCCAUGAAGGGACCAGAGACAGCAGAAAUGUCAUCAGCUUGGAAGCAAAACUUGCUAAGAACAAAUCUUCCACGGGUUUAUUGCUCCUGCUGGCUGGCUGUGCUGUGCCUGUUCACACACGUGCAGUUCACCACGGGAAAAUUAUCUGUACAGGGCACCCUGUGCCACACGGUCUGAGCCUUACAAUGGAAAAAACCACUCGUUUGUGUGUACUGGUUUCCUCCACGACUUCUUUUUCUGGUGUUUGAUGUGGUUUCAGGCCUCCCUGGUGCUGUUUCCACUGGAGGAACUGUCACAGCCUCUCUCACACACACAGACACUCGUGUGUGCGCCUUUGGUGCUGGCAAAGGGUUGAGCUCAUUCUGCCUCUCAUGAAGAAAAGUUCAAAACCAGUCUUCCUCUUCUCCCCAGUCAAGUAUUUUUACUUCUAGAAUGGGAUUUGGUGCUUUCUUUGGUGAAAUGUAUUUGAUAACUGGGUUAUAAUUAUGUCUAGAUAUGCAUAAACACCCUUUAGCAUCUCCGUGAUUUCAUUGGUUAGCUGGUUGUUUUAAGCCAUUUGAUGGAAAUUGUAUUUUACCAGACAACCCAGUCCGUGGGGGAAAAAAGAAGUAUGAAAAAAGUACAUUGCCUUCGAUAUUAAUCAUUUGAAGGAUAGCUGAAAGUCACCAUUGCUGGCGCAGCGAUGUGUCACAUCAAGAAUGUGUCUCCUUGUGCUGUGUGUGGCAAUAAACAGAGGAAAAACAGCAUGAAAACUGGGGAUACAGGUGGAUGUGAGGCUAAAUGGGACCCCAAUCCUGCAUGGAGCUCCACAUGGGCUGAUCCGUCUCUGCGUGAUGUGGGUGCAGGGAUUUGUGACAAAGGGCUUUGCUGCUCUACUGCCUUGGCUGCAAUUUUCAGCAGUUAGUGCUGUGCUUAAAAAAAACAAAAAACAAAAAACAGCCCAGCCAGAAAUCACAUUAGCAGCAUCAAAAUUGCUUUUAUUUUCAGGGUCAGUACCCUCAGCAAUAUGGUGCAGGAAAAGGUUGAUCCCAGCACGGAGUUGCUGAUAAUUCCCGAGUUGGUUUGACAUAUGCAGGCUGCUGUCGACUUCAACAGGCUUAUUUAACACAUUUGUUUCUUUUGGGUUUAGGAUUAGCCAAAAUGCAAUUUUGUGGAGCUGCACUGAGGAGGUUGCCUGCAGUGGGCUGUGGGCCUGGCAGGACUCAGGCUGCACAAGGAUGACAGCAGAAAGUCUUCCCCUUUAGCCUGGAGUUAACCAUGGAUAGGGCAAAUAACCUCUUCAGAGCACUCAAGAUUUUUACAUUUAUUAAAGCCUGCUCAUAAAAAAGAGACUCCAAAGCAAGCAGUGGCGCUCAGAGUGAAGAUCUGGGAAAAUAAAUGGCCAAAGCUAUCGCACUGUGACAGCUUUGGCAAACCUUUGCACAGUUUUAUAAAACAAACACCCGUGAUGUUCUAUUCUCUGGGUAGGUCUUUGCGUUAGAAGUUCAUACCUGACUCAGAAGAAGAAUAAAAUGGUUCUCUCUCUCUCUCUCUCCACAUAUUUACUGAGCACAUACUGGUGAAUUAAGUGCCAUGCCCGUGCUGUGCCACAUCAGCCACGCUGUCAGCGCGUCCAGCCCCUCCGCAGCUUUCCUGCCUUCAUCGGUGUGUGCAAACCACAGAGGAUGGAUGGAGCUCUGGGGGCUUAAUGUCCCAGGGAGCUAACUUAUCUGGAUCUCAAGAAUCACAGAAAAUGAAGCAAUUGUCUGUGGGCUUGCUCUGCUUUUUGAACAAAAGUGGUGUGAGAGUGCAUCAGUGGGCCCUGAUAACCGAGUGUCCCCCGCCGGUUUUCCACACCAAGAUUUCAGCUCCUUCUGCUUUUUGUGAACCAUCCGAGGUCUUCAUGUUUGGAUAAGAGUGCAUGGAAAACUUGAGAGGAUUUCAGUGUUUUUGGACCCCAAGGAGGGGGUGGUGACGAUAAAAAGCACUGGCACAUGUCAAGUCAAAGAGGUACCGGGUCUGGCUGAUGGUUUAACAGCUGGCCCAGAGCAGUGUGAAAAGGCAGAAAGGAAAUCACAGCACUGUCCAUUAAUUUAUGCUUAUGUAUGUUUUGUUUCUCUCAACACACACACACGUGAUAUUGUUCAUAUAUAUUGUUCAUCUGGUAAGGAAGAAAUAAAAAAAGAAAUUGAUACCAGUCUGCAUAUGCGUUCAAAAGCUUAGCAAAUUCUCCGAGCUCUGCUGGGGAUCAGAUUUCACCAAACUGCAAUAAAAAAUUCCUUUUUUACCUUG